UGGGGAAUAUUGGACAAUGGGGGAAACCCUGAUCCAGCGACGCCGCGUGUGUGAAGAAGGCCUUCGGGUUGUAAAGCACUUUCGGCAGGGACAAACAAGGCGGAGCUAACAUCUCCGUCCCUGAUGGUACCUGAAGAAGAAGCACCGGCUAACUCUGUGCCAGCAGCCGCGGUAAUACAGAGGGUGCAAGCGUUAAUCGGAUUUACUGGGCGUAAAGCGAGUGUAGGUGGUUUGCUAAGUCAGGUGUGAAAUCCCCAGGCUCAACCUGGGAACUGCAUUUGAUACUGGCAGGCUAGAGUGUGGUAGAGGAUGGUGGAAUUCCCGGUGUAGCGGUGAAAUGCGUAGAUAUCGGGAGGAACAUCAGUGGCGAAGGCGGCCAUCUGGACUAACACUGACACUGAGACUCGAAAGCGUGGGGAGCAAACAG
This 427-nucleotide ribosomal RNA is filed under the name uncultured bacterium. RNAcentral describes it as "bacterial SSU rRNA". It matches the Rfam family "Bacterial small subunit ribosomal RNA", at positions 355 to 775 of the family's 1533-position model. The record is from RNAcentral.